AAUAUUUGAAAAUGGGCGAAAGCCUGAUCCAGCCAUGCCGCGUGUGUGAAGAAGGUCUUCGGAUUGUAAAGCACUUUAAGUUGGGAGGAAGGGUUGUAGGUUAAUACCCUGCAAUUUUGAAGAUACCAACAGAAUAAGCACCGGCUAACUUCGUGCCAGCAGCCGCGGUAACACGAAGGGUGCAAGCAUGAAGCGGAAUUGUUGGGCGUAAAGCGAGCGUAAGUGGUUUGUUAAGUUGGAAGUGAAAGCCCCGGGCUUAACCUGGGAAUUGCUUUCAAAACUGACGAGCUAGAGUACGGUAGAGGGUAGUGGAAUUACCUGUGUAGCGGUGAAAUGCGUAGAUAUAGGAAGGAACAUCAGUUGCGAAGGCGACUACCUGGACUGAUACUGACACUGAGGUGCGAAAGCGUGGGGAGCAAACAGG
This 424-nucleotide ribosomal RNA is filed under the name uncultured bacterium. RNAcentral's name for it is "partial 16S ribosomal RNA". It matches the Rfam family "Bacterial small subunit ribosomal RNA", at positions 360 to 776 of the family's 1533-position model. The record is from RNAcentral.